UAGUAAUGGCAGGUCAGCAUACUGCCGUGAAUACGUUCCCGGGCCUUGUACACACCGCCCGUCACACCAUGAGAGUUGGGAAUACCCGAAGCCUGUGAGCUAACAUUUAUGAGGCAGCAGUCGAAGGUAGAAUCAAUGAUUGGGUGAAGUCGUAACAAGGUAGC
Molecule: ribosomal RNA, 164 nt
Filed under: uncultured bacterium
Lineage: Bacteria
Description: partial 16S ribosomal RNA
Rfam family: Bacterial small subunit ribosomal RNA
Source: RNAcentral